UACAGAGGGGGCAAGCGUUAUUCGGAAUUAUUGGGCGUAAAGGGCGCGUAGGCGGCCAUUCAAGUGACGGGUGAAAGCCCUCGGCUUAACCGAGGAACUGCCUGUCAGACUGGAUGGCUUGAGACCGGGAGAGGUGAGUGGAAUUCCCAGUGUAGCGGUGAAAUGUGUAGAGAUCGGGAGGAACACCGGUGGCGAAGGCGGUCUUCUGGACGGUGACUGACGCUGAGGCGCGAAAGCGUGGGGAGCAAACGGG
Molecule: ribosomal RNA, 253 nt
Filed under: uncultured bacterium
Lineage: Bacteria
Description: partial 16S ribosomal RNA
Rfam family: Bacterial small subunit ribosomal RNA
Source: RNAcentral